UAAGUUGUGGGGGGUGUGUGGUUUUUUUUUUUUGUUUUUUUGUUUUGUUUGAAGCUCUUAACAAUUAAUGUUGCUGCUUAGUGUUUGGGUCUGUGCUGCUGUAUGUAUGUGAGCUGUAAUACUCACUGUGAAGGUCUUCAACUUCACUCCUGAAGUCAGUGAGAUCACGAGCCCACCAGAAGGAAGAAACUCCACACACUUCUGAACAGCUGAAGGAACGAACUCCGGACACACCACCUUGUAGAACUGUGACACUCAUGCCUUAAAAAGGAUAUUCUGUCAUGUGUGGCAAGAUGGAUAAACCUGGAGGACAUUACGCUCCAGUGAAACGGUAUUCUAGCUCCCAAUCCAAGAAUGGAGGCAUAUGGAAGUGGAUGAAGCUAAACUAUGGUAUCGGAAACUGACCCUGAGUGAAGAAUCUGUGUUACUGUUGAGGCUCUGCCCUGAGGAUCUCUGUGACAUGGCAGAGCUCACCGCGUCCCCUGAUGCUUCUUCAUCUGUGGGAGUCUG
This 510-nucleotide long non-coding RNA is filed under the name Homo sapiens (human). Its description in RNAcentral is "HSALNT0332242". The record is from RNAcentral. Lineage: Eukaryota; Metazoa; Chordata; Mammalia; Primates; Hominidae.